RNAcentral lists this ribosomal RNA (424 nucleotides) under uncultured bacterium. RNAcentral's name for it is "bacterial SSU rRNA". It matches the Rfam family "Bacterial small subunit ribosomal RNA", at positions 355 to 776 of the family's 1533-position model. The record is from RNAcentral.
UGAGGAAUAUUGGUCAAUGGACGCAAGUCUGAACCAGCCAUGCCGCGUGAAGGAUGAAGGCCUUCUGGGUUGUAAACUUCUUUUAUGAGGGAAGAAAUCCCUGAUUUUUAUUAGGGUUGACGGUACCUUAGGAAUAAGCACCGGCUAACUCCGUGCCAGCAGCCGCGGUAAUACGGAGGGUGCAAGCGUUAUCCGGAUUUACUGGGUUUAAAGGGUGUGUAGGCGGGCAAUUAAGUCAGUGGUGAAAUCUCCGAGCUCAACUCGGAAACUGCCAUUGAUACUAUUUGUCUUGAAUUUUGUUGAGGAGGGCGGAAUAAGUCAUGUAGCGGUGAAAUGCAUAGAUAUGACUUAGAACACCGAUAGCGAAGGCAGCUCUCUAAGCAAACAUUGACGCUGAGGCACGAAAGCGUGGGGAUCAAACAGG